AGCGAACGCUGGCGGCAGGCCUAACACAUGCAAGUCGAACGGAUCCUUCGGGAUUAGUGGCGGACGGGUGAGUAACACGUGGGAACGUGCCCUUUGGUUCGGAACAACUCAGGGAAACUUGAGCUAAUACCGGAUGUGCCCUUCGGGGGAAAGAUUUAUCGCCAUUGGAGCGGCCCGCGUCUGAUUAGAUAGUUGGUGAGGUAACGGCCCACCAAGGCGACGAUCAGUAGCUGGUCUGAGAGGAUGAUCAGCCACACUGGGACUGAGACACGGCCCAGACUCCUACGGGAGGCAGCAGUGGGGAAUCUUGCGCAAUGGGCGAAAGCCUGACGCAGCCAUGCCGCGUGAAUGAUGAAGGUCUUAGGAUUGUAAAAUUCUUUCAGCGGGGACGAUAAUGACGGUACCCGCAGAAGAAGCUCCGGCUAACUUCGUG
Molecule: ribosomal RNA, 433 nt
Filed under: uncultured bacterium
Lineage: Bacteria
Description: partial 16S ribosomal RNA
Rfam family: Bacterial small subunit ribosomal RNA
Source: RNAcentral